UACAGAGGUCCCAAGCGUUGUUCGGAUUCACUGGGCGUAAAGGGUGCGUAGGUGGCCAGGUAAGUUUGGUGUGAAAGCUCGGAGCUUAACUCCGAAAAGUCAUUGAAUACUAUCUGGCUGGAGGGUCGGAGGGGAGACUGGAAUUCUCGGUGUAGCAGUGAAAUGCGUAGAUAUCGAGAGGAACACCAGUGGCGAAGGCGAGUCUCUGGACGACUCCUGACACUGAGGCACGAAAGCUAGGGGAGCGAACGGA
Molecule: ribosomal RNA, 253 nt
Filed under: uncultured bacterium
Lineage: Bacteria
Description: partial 16S ribosomal RNA
Rfam family: Bacterial small subunit ribosomal RNA
Source: RNAcentral